GAGGAAAGAGUGGGAGAGAGUGAUAGUACGGUCGCGGAGGAGACUGGAGGAGGAGAGAGGCAUAGGAGAGUGUUGCCAUUGGGUCAGGGUUGGAAAUGGAGGGGAUCGCCGGGGGAGGGUGGUGUGGAAGGCAUUAGUUGUGAGCAAGGGAAGGAGAGGAACGUAAUGUGGAAGGGGGUUGGGAGAGCAGAUUGUGAGGGGAAAAAGAAUAGGAAGAUUUAGAUUCAAGUUUUAUUGUGACGUGUGCUCAAGUACAGGGUUACAAGAGUGCAGUGAAAGGUGUAUAGCGUGGCCACAUACGGGGCCAUCUAAGGCACAAAGUCUUAAUUGGAGAAAUAGAGAAAGAAAGAAAGAAGUUUUAAAAAAAGUUUAGCACCACAGUCUUCUUAGCAUAAAAAGUAGAAAAAGAAAGUUGCAAUAUCAAACACUACAGUCCUUUCUUGAGCCACGGGCCUGCAGAUACUUCAACUUGGGCUUCCCCAAGAGGGCUGGCUCUCCCCCACACUGGGCUAAGACUCACCUGGCACUCCAAGCCUAGCUGAUGCCUCAUUGCUGACAACCAUCACUCACAGGCGACCACCGCUGCUGCAAUCCUUUGCUGCUGCCCUCUCAUCGCUGACUGUCACUGUCACCAUCCUUCGUUGCCAAUUGCUGCUAGCUGCUGCAGCCAUAAGGGCCAACACUGAAUCCCAGAUGCUGCCUCAUGGCUCCAGUUUUAUGAAUGCUCAAGGUCCGCACUCAAGAUCUGCUGCUGACACCAUCUGCACUCAGAAUAGAAUGCAGAGGAUGUGGGCUGUGGAAUUAUUAGGGAUAAAGAAAGGGAGUUCGGAAUUUUGUAGGGGAGAAGGAUUGGGAGGAAGAAAGAAUGCGGGGCAGAGCAAAUAUUGAAUAUUUCUUCUUUAAACAGAAGUUUUAUUUCAGAGUACCAGCAUGUGUGACAUUCUGGGCAAUAAGCUGAUUUACAUAAGACCGACAAACUGAACUGGAUGUGAUUGUGCAAAGAUGUUACUUUAAUGAACCAUGGCAAAAACCGAAAGCUUUAACAUGAUGUCAAAAGCAAGAUAUUGAUAUGAACAGAAAAUGAUCAAAACACUCAGGACAGGCAGCAUUCUGUCUUGCAAUGAUUUGCUGUCACUUUGGAAGGACUCCCUGACCCUACAGUGAAACGAUUUGGUGUCCCGCCGGAAAGACUCCACUGAGCGCAGUCUGACAACCACUGACCGAUUAAUCUCCAACGCUAUCAUGUAGCGCCACCUGCCGCCUGUGGAAAAACAUCACAGGCAGGAAGGUCCCCGGGUUCCUGCAGUUGACAGCUCAUUCUAUCCCGUAGGUCCCUGUCUACAAUUGAGCUUCUGUUUGUUUCUUCUCUUCCUGUCCUGUAUCCCCAGACCUAUGGAGAUCCUUGCUGAGCUUUCAUUUCUGUGCAGCAAAGAUCGUGAGUGCAGAUGGCUGUGUUUGGAAUAUCUAUUGGCUGAAGGAGAAGCUGCAGCAGGAGGGGACUACAAUGCCAUAGGUAGAACUAAGAAAAACGGCCUACAUGUCCAGUCUGACGAGCUAGAAAGCCAAACCUCGAAGGUAAUGAUCUCUGAUUAUUACCUGAACGACUUGCAAUUUGGCAUUUGGUACACAAGGUUGGAGAGAUGAAUGA
Long non-coding RNA from Rhincodon typus (whale shark), 1648 nucleotides. RefSeq lists it as uncharacterized. The record is from RefSeq and is a predicted model, not a curated record. NCBI's taxonomy places the organism in Eukaryota, Metazoa, Chordata, Chondrichthyes, Orectolobiformes, Rhincodontidae. The transcript has 3 exons.